GCCCGGGUAGCCCAACGGCAGAGGCGCCUGAUUCAGGGUCAGGAGGUUGGAGGUUCGAAUCCUCUUCCGGGUA
RNAcentral lists this transfer RNA (73 nucleotides) under Dactylosporangium aurantiacum. Its description in RNAcentral is "tRNA-Leu". It matches the Rfam family "tRNA". Rfam says of the family: Transfer RNA (tRNA) molecules are approximately 80 nucleotides in length. The record is from RNAcentral. Lineage: Bacteria; Bacillati; Actinomycetota; Actinomycetes; Micromonosporales; Micromonosporaceae.